GAUUGAGAUGAGGAUUAGAUUUCGUAUCCCUAUUGGUUUGAACGCCGUGAUGAUGGCGAAACUAUGUAUUAGCUCUAUCUGAUCCUUC
Prunus persica (peach) is the source of this 88-nucleotide small nucleolar RNA. It matches the Rfam family "Small nucleolar RNA Z102/R77". Rfam says of the family: Z102 and R77 and are members of the C/D class of snoRNA which contain the C (UGAUGA) and D (CUGA) box motifs. Lineage: Eukaryota; Viridiplantae; Streptophyta; Magnoliopsida; Rosales; Rosaceae. The record is from Rfam.